This 603-nucleotide non-coding RNA is filed under the name Aspergillus oryzae. Its description in RNAcentral is "Eukaryotic large subunit ribosomal RNA". It matches the Rfam family "Eukaryotic large subunit ribosomal RNA", at positions 1 to 608 of the family's 3401-position model. The record is from Rfam by way of RNAcentral. Lineage: Eukaryota; Fungi; Ascomycota; Eurotiomycetes; Eurotiales; Aspergillaceae.
UGACCUCGGAUCAGGUAGGGAUACCCGCUGAACUUAAGCAUAUCAAUAAGCGGAGGAAAAGAAACCAACCGGGAUUGCCUCAGUAACGGCGAGUGAAGCGGCAAGAGCUCAAAUUUGAAAGCUGGCUCCUUCGGGGUCCGCAUUGUAAUUUGCAGAGGAUGCUUCGGGUGCGGCCCCUGUCUAAGUGCCCUGGAACGGCCGUCAGAGAGGGUGAGAAUCCCGUCUGGGAUGGGGUGUCCGCGCCCGUGUGAAGCUCCUUCGACGAGUCGAGUUGUUUGGGAAUGCAGCUCUAAAUGGGUGGUAAAUUUCAUCUAAAGCUAAAUACUGGCCGGAGACCGAUAGCGCACAAGUAGAGUGAUCGAAAGAUGAAAAGCACUUUGAAAAGAGAGUUAAAAAGCACGUGAAAUUGUUGAAAGGGAAGCGCUUGCGACCAGACUCGCCUCCAGGGUUCAGCCGGCAUUCGUGCCGGUGUACUUCCCUGGGGGCGGGCCAGCGUCGGUUUGGGCGGCCGGUCAAAGGCUCCCGGAAUGUAGUGCCCUCCGGGGCACCUUAUAGCCGGGAGUGCAAUGCGGCCAGCCUGGACCGAGGAACGCGCUUCGGCAC